RNAcentral lists this ribosomal RNA (210 nucleotides) under Klebsiella pneumoniae. Its description in RNAcentral is "partial 23S ribosomal RNA". It matches the Rfam family "Bacterial large subunit ribosomal RNA", at positions 1160 to 1369 of the family's 2925-position model. Lineage: Bacteria; Pseudomonadati; Pseudomonadota; Gammaproteobacteria; Enterobacterales; Enterobacteriaceae. The record is from RNAcentral.
UGCGCGGAAGAUGUAACGGGGCUAAACCAUGCACCGAAGCUGCGGCAGCGACACUAUGUGUUGUUGGGUAGGGGAGCGUUCUGUAAGCCUGCGAAGGUGACCUGUGAGGGUUGCUGGAGGUAUCAGAAGUGCGAAUGCUGACAUAAGUAACGAUAAAGCGGGUGAAAAGCCCGCUCGCCGGAAGACCAAGGGUUCCUGUCCAACGUUAAU